RNAcentral lists this ribosomal RNA (316 nucleotides) under Mediterraneibacter faecis JCM 15917. RNAcentral describes it as "bacterial SSU rRNA". It matches the Rfam family "Bacterial small subunit ribosomal RNA", at positions 493 to 814 of the family's 1533-position model. The record is from RNAcentral. Lineage: Bacteria; Bacillati; Bacillota; Clostridia; Lachnospirales; Lachnospiraceae.
UCUGGUCCUUGUGUGCCCGCCGCCGCGGUCCUACGUAUGGUGCACGCGUUCUCCGGAUUUACUGGGUGUAAAGGGAGCGUAGACGGAGUGGCAAGUCUGAUGUGAAAACCCGGGGCUCAACCCCGGGACUGCAUUGGAAACUGUCAAUCUAGAGUACCGGAGAGGUAAGCGGAAUUCCUAGUGUAGCGGUGAAAUGCGUAGAUAUUAGGAGGAACACCAGUGGCGAAGGCGGCUGAAGGGACGGGAAAGGACGGGGAGGCGCGAAAGCGGGGGGAGCAAACAGGAGGAGAAACCCCGGGAGGCCGGCUGACUGACU